AAACUAGUGGAGCUGGGAGGCAGCUCGGACGCAGAUUCCCUUGCCUUUCCCUGAACUGCACCCAUGCCAAGCAC
MicroRNA precursor from Pongo abelii (Sumatran orangutan), 74 nucleotides. The record is from Ensembl. Lineage: Eukaryota; Metazoa; Chordata; Mammalia; Primates; Hominidae.